CAAUGAUUUUUCAUUGUUUAUCGUCGUAUUUUGGAUUCAUUUGGAUUUCGUUUCCUGUUUUUGUGAACUUUAUAAACUUUACCACAAUGCGAACUGAUUAUUUAAGGAAAUUAUUAUUGGAAACUCCAGAUGUUGCGAGAAAGAUAUUUAUUGAAGCUGAAAAUAAUUGGGGAUUUAGAUCCAUACGGAAUUCAGUCAGAAUUGGAUUUUACAGUAAAGUGCAGUCCAUCAAGUUACUAUUAUAGAUAUAUAUUUAUACAGAUCUGGUGGAGUCUCACAGUUGCUACUCUAAGCAGCAGAUGAAAGCAUACAAAAGCCUUCAGGCACAUAAAUAUUUUACAGCUGGAUUUGUUUUGAAUGGAGUAAAAAUUGUUAAUGAUUUCCUGAUUUCCAUAUUAUUGUUGGAAAGGUGAAGCAUUUCCAAAAAGCUAAUGCUAAACGACUAAAUGCUUGGGUGGGGUGAUAGCCAGUUCUGAUGACAUAGCAAAUGCACAUUGUAUGCGUAUGGCCGGUAAUAGUGAAGUCUGCAGCCAUAUUGCAGCAAUCCUAUUUUUAGCUGAGUAUGCCCAGAGCAAGACAGACGAAGAAGAACCCAAUGCAUGUACAUAUGUUACAGCUACAUGGUUUGGAGAUAGCAACAUAUGCAUUCUCUGAUGAAAAACUAAUGAGUUUUGAAACUGUUCAGUCAGAGUGCUUGUUGCGCUCACUAAACGAACUGAAAUAUAAGAAGUCUUUGGCAUUGUGUUGCAGCGAUAUGAAAAUGGUUAUUCAUUUUUAAUUAUAAUGUACUUCUUCAUCAUGAGUAAUUAUGUAUUGGUCUUUUAGAUGUGUAUUUAUUUUUGUAAUUAGUAUCAACUUGUAAUGAUAAUAUACAUUUAUCGUUUAAGGUA
This 890-nucleotide long non-coding RNA is filed under the name Diabrotica virgifera virgifera (western corn rootworm). Its description in RNAcentral is "uncharacterized LOC126881356". The record is from RNAcentral. Lineage: Eukaryota; Metazoa; Arthropoda; Insecta; Coleoptera; Chrysomelidae.